GGGGGUGUGGCUCAAUGAUAGAGUGCUUGCCUCACACACAUGAGGCACUGGGUUCAAUCCUCAGCAUCGCAU
Molecule: non-coding RNA, 72 nt
Organism: Ictidomys tridecemlineatus (thirteen-lined ground squirrel)
Lineage: Eukaryota; Metazoa; Chordata; Mammalia; Rodentia; Sciuridae
Source: Rfam